CAAUUGUUCAGUUGCAAAAAGAAACUGGAGCCACCAUCAAGCUGUCUAAGUCCAAAGAUUUUUACCCAGGUGCUGACAGCUGCAGAAGAAAUUGUACAUGGUGCUGUACAGAAGGUAUUUCUCCACUGUGCCAUCUGCAGAGUGAAACUGACUAGGAGUACUACAUAGACUGUAAGUUUCUUGUGUACCUGCCCUAGACUGGAAAACCCAAUAAGAGAAAAUAACAAAUAACUGGGAAGCAUCAUCUAAAAAUGUAUUGAGGUCAGUUAAACUUAGUGCUGCUCUCCCUGGCUCUAAAUUUUAUUUUAAGGUCAUCUGAUUGGUACGAAAUUAAAUAACAAAUAGAUGGAUGCACUCCUUUUUAUUCUAAAAGCAAAUGAAACUAAAAUACUUUUAUCAAUAUUCUUCACUUUGAAUGGAACUUAAUCAUAUUGUUUUUAAAUAUUUUUAAGGAACCAAAUCAAUAGUAUAAGAUUUCAGAGCCAUGUUCUUCAAAUAGC
RNAcentral lists this small RNA (500 nucleotides) under Pongo abelii (Sumatran orangutan). Its description in RNAcentral is "retained intron". The record is from RNAcentral. Lineage: Eukaryota; Metazoa; Chordata; Mammalia; Primates; Hominidae.